This is a non-coding RNA of Peromyscus maniculatus bairdii (prairie deer mouse), 2098 nucleotides long. Lineage: Eukaryota; Metazoa; Chordata; Mammalia; Rodentia; Cricetidae. The record is from RefSeq and is a predicted model, not a curated record.
AUGGCUUCAGAGUCUACCAAUGGGAAACAAGUUAGGAGUCACGUGACAAAGGGGCGUCUUCUGUCAGCGCGUGUGAUGGCGAAGACUCCUUCAUCUUUGAAGCCAACGAAGCAUGGAAAGACUUCCACAGUUCUCUCCUCCAGUUCUAUGAGAAUGGGGAGCUCUGUGAUGUCACACUGAAGGUUGGCUCAAAGGUGAUCUCUUGUCACAAACUGGUGCUAGCUUGUGUGAUUCCCUACUUCAGAGCCAUGUUUCUUUCUGAAAUGGUUGAAGCCAAGCAGGUGCUGAUUGCGAUUUGAGACUUUGAUGGUGAUGCUGUGGAAGACUUGGUGAAAUUCGUCUACUCUUCACGGCUCAUGUUGACAGUAGACAAUGUCCAGCCUCUCCUGUAUGCAGCAUAUAUCCUGCAGGUUGAACUGGUGGCCGGGGCUUGCUGUGAAUACAUGAAGUUACAUUUUCAUCCCUCCAGUUGCCUGGCAGUAGGAGCCUUUGCGGAGAGUCACAACCGAAUAGACCUGAUGGACAUGGCGGACCAGUAUGCCUGCGAGCACUUUACUGAAGCGGUGGAGUGUGAAGACUUCGUAAGUGUGUCACCCCCAGCACCUCCACAAGCUUCUGUCCUCCAGUGAUCUCAACAUCGACAGUGAAAAGCUGGUCUACAGUACUGCUAUCAACUGGCUUCUUGCCAAUCCCCAGCAUCAUUCUAAAUGGCUGGAUGAGACACGUGCACAAGUCGUCUGCCAUUAUUGCCGGUUGAUUUUCUUAUGGGUAUUGUGGCAAAAGAACAGAUUGUCAAGCAAAACCUAAAAAUGUAGAGAUCUACUGGAUGAAGUAAGCAACUAUCACCUUCAUUUGAGCAGCAAACUGGUCCCUGACUUUGAGUACACGGUCCGCACUACCCCAAGGAAGCAUAUGGCUGGUGUGCUGUUCUAUGUAGGUGGUCAAGGUGGAUCUGGUGACCCCUUUUGUAGUAUUGAAUGCUAUUCUGUCAACAAAAACAGUUGGUUCUUUAGACCAGAAAUGACUAGCUGAAGGCAGCAUGUGGGUGUGAUCUCUGAAAGGUAAAGUGUAUGCAGUGGGUGGACAUGAUGGGAAUGAGCAUUUAGGUAGCAUGGAGAUGUUUGAUCCUCUCACUAAUAAAUGGAUGAUGAAGGUGUCAAUGAACACCAAGAGGAGAGGAAUUGCUUUGGCCUCCUUAGGGGGCCCAAUAUAUGCAAUUGGAGGAUUAGAUGAUAAUACUUGCUUUAGUGAUGUGGAGAGAUACGACAUCGAAUCUGACCAGUGGAGUACAGUGGCACCAAUGAACACUCCCCGUGGAGGUGUUGGCUCUGUGGCUUUAGUGAACCAUGUUUACGCAGUGGGUGGCAAUGAUGGAGUGGCCUCCUUAUCCAUUGUGGAGAGGUACCAUCCACAUCUGGACAAGUGGAUAGAGGUCAAGGAAAUAGGUCAGCGCAGAGCAGGCAAUGGUGUUAGUGAACUUCACAGCUGCUUAUAUGUUGUUAGUGGUUUUGAUGAUAACUCCCCUCUGAGUUCAGUUGAACGGUACGACCCCCGAAGCAACAAGUGGGAUUAUGUGGUAGCAGUCACGACUCCCCGGGGAGGAGUAGGCAUCGCUACCGUGAUGGGCAAAAUCUUUGCAGUUGGCGGUCACAAUGGCAAUGCAUACCUAAACACAGUGGAGGCAUUUGAUCCAGUGCUGAAUAAGUGGAUCUGGUCGGACCUGUGUCCCACUGCCAAGCCAGUGCUGGUGUAGCCGUGUGUGACUGUUUAACUAGCCAGAUCUGUAGGUCACGGGUCCACUAAUGUGGUGGAGUGUAUGUGACGUGAAUCCCAGCAGCAACUGUGCAACCACACGGGAUGCUCGGGAAGACAGCCAGCAUUUGAUACGGCCCCCUCUGAUUUGAACGUCAGCUGUUGUGGUGUGGGUACACCUUGUGGACUGAUGGCUGGAGAAUGGUAGUCACAGAGUUGGGUUUCCUGCUCUAGCAAAUAAUGAAGCCGUCUAUCUUUGAACCCAUUCUUGUUCUGAAAGACGUUUCAUGUAGUGCCAAACCUUAAAAUAGCUGUUUAUUUUGAUGAAUAAAAUUUAAUUUAUUGA